RNAcentral lists this long non-coding RNA (560 nucleotides) under Marmota monax (woodchuck). Lineage: Eukaryota; Metazoa; Chordata; Mammalia; Rodentia; Sciuridae. The record is from RNAcentral.
GGGACAAUACAUACAGAGCACUAGAUAGCAAGUACUCUUUAACAAAAAAAAGUAUGCAUUAUAUUGUGUGCAUGCAUGAAUAUGUAACAACAAAUAUCAUCAUUAUGUACAACUGUAAUGCACAAUAAAAAAUGUAGAAGAAAUAAAUCAAAGGAAAGCAAAACAAAACAUCAUGGGAUAUAGCAAAAACAAACAAAACAAAUGUGUGAAUUUUAUUGUCCCCAUUUUACAGAUAGAAAAGUGAAGCUCAGAGAUGUUAAGCAACUUGCCCAAAGUCACAUUGAUAGGGAAGGGAGGAGGUAGGAUUAGCACCCAGGACUGUCAGUCCCCUAAGUGGGUAGCCUAGGUAACUGUUCAUCCAGAGCGUCUGAUUGCUGGUUUCUGAGAGCACCUUUUUAGAACAUAGUUUCUUUCACCUGAUAUUUUGGCUUGAACCCUGAGAUCUACGCACUGUCAACAUCAACAUUCUGUGACAACUUUCUGUGCGACAGUGAUGCUGUAUGCUUUGCACCAGACUUAUGGUGUCCUGUGCCUCUAAAAUCUGAACCUUCUUGGAGUAA